Molecule: ribosomal RNA, 511 nt
Filed under: uncultured bacterium
Lineage: Bacteria
Description: partial 16S ribosomal RNA
Rfam family: Bacterial small subunit ribosomal RNA
Source: RNAcentral
GACGAACGCUGGCGGCGUGCCUAAUACAUGCAAGUCGAGCGAUGAAGGAGAUACUUGUAUCUUUUGAAGAGCGGCGAACGGGUGAGUAACGCGUGGGGAAUCUGCCAAUGAGUGGGGGACAACAUUUGGAAACGAAUGCUAAUACCGCAUAAAAUCUAUUGAGACAUCUCAAGAGAUUGAAAGGAACAAUUGUUUCGCUCGUUGAUGAUUCCGCGUUGUAUUAGCCAGUUGGUGAGGUAAGGGCUGACCAAGGCGAUGAUACAUAGCCGACCUGAGAGGGUGAUCGGCCACAUUGGGACUGAGACACGGCCCAAACUCCUACGGGAGGCAGCAGUAGGGAAUCUUCGGCAAUGGACGAAAGUCUGACCGAGCAACGCCGCGUGAGUGAAGAAGGUUUUCGGAUCGUAAAGCUCUGUUGUUGUUAAAGAACGUUGAUGAGAGUGGAAAGUUCAUCAAGUGACGGUAAACAACCAGAAAGGGACGGCUAACUACGUGCCAGCCGCCGCGGUAA